RNAcentral lists this ribosomal RNA (383 nucleotides) under uncultured eukaryote. Its description in RNAcentral is "partial 18S ribosomal RNA". It matches the Rfam family "Eukaryotic small subunit ribosomal RNA", at positions 592 to 976 of the family's 1831-position model. The record is from RNAcentral.
CAAUAGCGUAUAUUAAAGUUGUUGCAGUUAAAAAGCUCGUAGUUGGAUUUCUGGUAGGGGCGACCGUGCCGAACUUGAUUGUUCGAGUAUUGUGUUGUCUUCAGCCAUCCUCGUGGAGAACUUUUCUAACAUUAACUUGUUGGGAUUGGGACCCGCGUCGUUUACUGUGAAAAAAUUAGAGUGUUUAAAGCAGGCAUUAGCUUGAAUACAUUAGCAUGGAAUAAUAAGAUAGGACUUUGGUACUAUUUUGUUGGUUUGCAUACCAAAUUAAUGAUCAACAGGAACAGUUUGAGGAUAUUCGUAUGAACAUGUCAGAGGUGAAAUUCUUGGAUUUUGAUCAGACGAACUACUGCGAAAGCAUUUAUCAAGGAUGUUUUCAUUAA